RNAcentral lists this unclassified non-coding RNA (287 nucleotides) under uncultured Actinomycetes bacterium. Its description in RNAcentral is "uncultured actinobacterium contains 16S-23S intergenic spacer region". Lineage: Bacteria; Bacillati; Actinomycetota; Actinomycetes. The record is from RNAcentral.
UCCGGCUUCUCGCCGGCAGUCCUCUUUGAGUACCCGACAUAACUCGCUGGCUCCGAAGAGCACCCGCUUUCACGGGUUUCACCCUGCAUGUCAAGCCCAGGUAAGGUUCUUCGCGUUGCAUCGAAUUAAGCCGCAUGCUCCGCCGCUUGUGCGGGCCCCCGUCAAUUCCUUUGAGUUUUAGCCUUGCGGCCGUACUCCCCAGGCGGGGUGCUUAAUGCGUUAGCUUCGGCACGGACGGGGUUGAUAUCCGCCCACACCUAGCACCCAACGUUUACGGCUAGGACUAC